RNAcentral lists this ribosomal RNA (1258 nucleotides) under uncultured bacterium. RNAcentral's name for it is "bacterial SSU rRNA". It matches the Rfam family "Bacterial small subunit ribosomal RNA", at positions 102 to 1372 of the family's 1533-position model. The record is from RNAcentral.
ACGGGUGAGUAAAAGGUAGGGACCUACCCCGAGGACAGAGAUAGCUACUGGAAACGGUAGGUAAACUCUGAUAAGCCCGAGAGGGGAAAGUGGAAGGCAGCCUUGGGAUGGACCUACUAUCCAUCAGGUAGUUGGUGAGGUAAAGGCUCACCAAGCCGAUGACGGAUAACCGGUGUGAGAGCAUGUACGGUCACAAGGGCACUGAGACACGGGCCCUACUCCUACGGGAGGCAGCAGUGGGGAAUAUUGGACAAUGGGCGAAAGCCUGAUCCAGCGACGCCGCGUGAAGGAAGAAGUCCUUCGGGAUGUAAACUUCUGAACUAAUCGAAUAAAAGGGUAGUGGACACACUACAGAAGAAGGUAGAUUAGGAAAAGUCCCGGCUAACUACGUGCCAGCAGCCGCGGUAAGACGUAGGGGGCGAGCGUUGCCCGGAAUCACUGGGUGUAAAGGGGACGUAGGCGGAUGAUCAAGUCAUCUGUGAAAAGAUUGCUCAACGAUUGGCUUGCGGAUGAAACUGGUCAUCUUGGGCGUAGCAGAGGUAGACGGAAUUACCUGAGUAGGGGUGAAAUCCGCAGAUACAGGUAAGAACGCCGGUGAAGAAGUUGGUCUACUAGGCUACAGCUGACGCUGAGGUCCGAAAGCCAGGGGAGCGAACCGGAUUAGAUACCCGGGUAGUCCUGGCUGUAAACGAUGCUCACUAGGUGUAGGGAGCGAAAGACUCUCUGUGCUGAAGCUAACGCGAUAAGUGAGCCACCUGGGGAGUACGUCAGCAAGGAUGAAACUCAAAGGAAUUGACGGGGGUCAGCACAAGCGGUGGAGCAUGUGGUUUAAUUCGAAGCUAACCGAAGAACCUUACCAGGGAUUGACAUGUAACUGAAGGUAGAGAAAUCUACUGGCCUGCCGUGAGGUAGGAGGUUACACAGGUGGUGCACGGUCGUCGUCAGCUCGUGCCGUGAGGUGUUGGGUUAAGUCCCACAACGAGCGCAACCCCUACAAUUAGUUACCAGCAAGUAAAGUUGGGGACACUAAUUGGACAGCCGCCGACGAGGCGGAGGAAGGAGGGGAUGACGUCAGAUAAGCGUGCCCCUUAUACUCUGGGCGACACACGUGCUACAAUGGGGAGGACAAAGGGAAGCGAAGCCGAGAGGUGGAGCGGAUCCGAAAAACUCUCCGUAAUAUGGAUUGUAGGCUGAAACUCGCCUACAUGAAGCUGGAAUCGCUAGUAAUCGCAGGUCAGCCAAACUGCGGUGAUACGUU